This 445-nucleotide ribosomal RNA is filed under the name uncultured Actinomycetales bacterium. Its description in RNAcentral is "bacterial SSU rRNA". It matches the Rfam family "Bacterial small subunit ribosomal RNA", at positions 338 to 795 of the family's 1533-position model. The record is from RNAcentral. Lineage: Bacteria; Bacillati; Actinomycetota; Actinomycetes; Actinomycetales.
CCUACGGGAGGCUGCAGUGGGGAAUAUUGCGCAAUGGGCGAAAGCCUGACGCAGCGACGCCGCGUGAGGGACGACGGCCUUCGGGUUGUAAACCUCUUUCAGCAGGGACGAAGCGAAAGUGACGGUACCUGCAGAAGAAGCACCGGCUAACUACGUGCCAGCAGCCGCGGUAAUACGUAGGGUGCAAGCGUUGUCCGGAUUUAUUGGGCGUAAAGAGCUCGUAGGCGGUCUGUCGCGUCGGAUGUGAAAACCCGGGGCUCAACUCCGGGCCUGCAUCCGAUACGGGCAGACUAGAGUGUGGUAGGGGAGACUGGAAUUCCUGGUGUAGCGGUGAAAUGCGCAGAUAUCAGGAGGAACACCGAUGGCGAAGGCAGGUCUCUGGGCCAUUACUGACGCUGAGGAGCGAAAGCGUGGGGAGCAAACAGGAUUAGAUACCCGGGUAGUC